Molecule: microRNA precursor, 168 nt
Filed under: Oryza brachyantha (malo sina)
Lineage: Eukaryota; Viridiplantae; Streptophyta; Magnoliopsida; Poales; Poaceae
Description: MIR812 microRNA precursor family
Rfam family: MIR812 microRNA precursor family
Source: Rfam by way of RNAcentral
UUAAAUUUUUGAUUUUUCGUUUUAUUUAAAAUUUUUUAUAAUUAAUAUUCUUAUUAUUAUUACAUGAUAAAAUAUGAAUAGUACUUUGCAUGUGACUAAUUUUUUUAAUUUUUUAAUAAAUUUUUCAAAUAAGACGGAUGGUUAAACGAUUUAUAGACAAAACUCAGG